GAGAGCCAAGCUUUCCUCCUGCAGAGAGGGUACAGGAUACACCAUAUAUUAUCUUUCUGCUCUUGCACAUUCUAUCCCAGGCCCAGUUAGAGUCCUAUUUGAGGUGGAGGAGCCAGUUUACUGCCUGCCAAUGGAAGCCAUCGCCUAAGCCAGACAUGAAGUGCAUGUGGCAGAUUUGUGUCCUAUGGGUCUUCUGGGUGCUCAUCUUGUGCCUGAUGGUUCCCUGCCUGGAUCAGAAACCUGACUCGGCACCCCAGGAAAAAGUGAUGGACUUGGUACCACGGCGUGGCAACUGCCUUUGGUUUAAGUUCAGGAAGUGUGGCUGCCCACCUGAGACCCUCAACGACUCCCUCUGCCACCACACAGCCAGAGGACAGAACUGGUUUGAUGCAUGCUAUGAGAAGACGAUGGGGUACCUGGUGGGGACAACAGAGUCCAUGACCCCUGAUGCUGUGCUCUGGUGGUUGGGCAUGGACUCAGCAAGCGAGCUGGGCAAAAUGUGGGAGAAGCUGUUCAAGGUGAUUCCCAGACCCUCGGUGAGCCAUAACAAUCUGUACUGCAGGACAUGUGUGCUGGUGGGGAACUCCAAGAUCCUGCCGGCUUCUGGCGUCAGCAACAAUGUCACCCAGCAUACCACCGUCUUCGGGAUGAACCAGGCCCCCAUUCAGAGCUUCAAGACGGUAGGGAACCAAACCAGGGGACGCUCCACCUGCCGAAGGAAUGUGGGGGACCAGGGCUACUGGAGACAGCUGCUUCUGCUUGUCCUGAAGCUUUCUGGGCUGGCAUGGACCUCAGAUGCUCUGAGCCAGGAGGUGAAGGUCUGGGAACUCAGACAUUCUUAGCAUGGAGAUUUUGGAAGAAGAUCUCGUUCCCUAGUGGAAUGGAACAUAGCCCAGACCAGGAUGCCCGCUUUGGAUUUUUAUCAGAGGAGCAAGGAAAACGGGGGAAAGUUAAUCAGACUAUGCCUAGCACAGAAGCAGAAAUGGAAGUCAGCAAGAGUGAGUGGUGGACAAGCUCACCAUCAACAGCUAACGCCUUUAGAAUCCACACACGUCCUAGUCCUUUGGUCCUGAAAGCAGGGGAAUCUUGGGACUGUAGCAGCAACAGUAGGGCUACGAGGACUUCCAGGGGUAAAGGGCAAGAGGAAAUUGUGUGGACAUCAGUCGGGCACUGAAUAAAAUCCUGGUCUGAUUUUCUUA
Molecule: RNA transcript, 1199 nt
Organism: Eptesicus fuscus (big brown bat)
Lineage: Eukaryota; Metazoa; Chordata; Mammalia; Chiroptera; Vespertilionidae
Gene: C12H20orf173
Gene name: chromosome 12 C20orf173 homolog
Exons: 6
Source: RefSeq, a predicted model, not a curated record